GAUGUCUUUCUAAAGUACGUCUGUCCAAAGAAUAGAGAUGGAUAUAAAUGUAAAUCAUAUAAUGCCAACCAGAAAUAAUUAUGAUGUCAAACUGGGAAACUGGGAAGUUUGUGUGCACAAGAACCUCCCUCAUCAGGAAAAGACAGAAGCAGGGACGACCGAAAACGUUAGAAUAAAUUCAACAAAAAUGUCUGAAAACCUAGAAAGUGAAGAAAAUGGUAAAUUCCAUGAAACCGAAAUAGCAGACACACAACGCAAUGAAAAUAGGAAAACAACGAGGAAGUGUUUUUUAAAGAUAACUGAUGAGGUCGAUCUAAACGUUAGCCACACUUUUUCCGGACUUUGCCACAGAUGCUGCUACUGGUUUGGUUUAGCUUUCCUGGCUUUCAUUGGUGGUAGUGUUGCUGUUGGUAUAUUGUGCGGUUUGCAGAUAUCUAUGAUAAUUAUAGGUACUAUCCACAGAAACAACUGUCCUGCCCAACCCUGCAUUCCCAUUUACAUGACUACUUCUGGGUGUUUAGGUAUUGUAGGCGUCUUGAUAGGUGUCACCCGUCAAGUCAUGGAGAAAAGAGGCAGAAAGAGAAUAGUAAUAUUUCUCCACAAAUUCGUUCUUGUGUCGUCAAUCUGCAUCAUUCUACCUUGGUAUGUUGUGGUUAUAUCAAUGAGAAGUCAGUACUUCCAUCCCUGCUUACAACGUACUGUCUAAUUAUCAUUCCUGCGUUUUAACAACAGUCUUAACUUCUUGUGUGAUGAAGACUGCUGGGAAACAUUGACAGAUCAUCAAUACAGCAUUGUGCAGUGCAGUGUGCUAUGUGAAAAGGACUCAACUGUAAGGAUCUAAAUUCAGUGAUAGGAUGAUAAACAAGCUUAGAUUUUCUUUAUAUUCCUUUUACUGUGUAUCUUGAUAGAAAAUGUAAUUGUAAUAGAGACU
RNAcentral lists this unclassified non-coding RNA (931 nucleotides) under Limulus polyphemus (Atlantic horseshoe crab). RNAcentral's name for it is "uncharacterized LOC111086629, transcript variant X5". The record is from RNAcentral. Lineage: Eukaryota; Metazoa; Arthropoda; Merostomata; Xiphosura; Limulidae.